AGAACUCUGGAGGUUCUGGACUACACAGCUGAAGGCAUUUUCCCCUUUCCCGGGAUGUAUCCACAGAAAACACUUCAUCAGUGAGAAUGUUCCCUGAAACUUGAAGAGGAUGUAAUAAACGUUGGCCGUUCAACCUUCACCUAUCCUCAACAUUGCCAUCUGGAUGCCUCUGACCUUCACCCCAGCCCAGAUCCUCACACAAGCUGGCUCUAAGAGGGAAGGCUAGAACAUACACCAGCCCCAUCCUUCCAGUCCCCACUGACUGCUGACAUGGACCGUGAAUAGGCCUUUGGACUCCUGCAAGCUGAGAAUUCCCUGCUUCCCACAGCAGAUAUCUGAUAGCUUCUUUUCUACAGAAAUCUAUCUCCUUUGAGAGAUCUAACCAUCCCAACAAUGCUUUUCCAGGAAAAGAUUUCCAGCCCUCCUCUGGUCUCCUGUGACCCUGAGAGCUGACCUCAUAGCAUCUACCUCACUGUUCCUUAAUUCUCAAUUUUGUCUCCUGAAACCUUUGGCUUCUCAGUAUUUAUCUGUUCCUGGCUCAGGGCAGGAUAUCAGUAAAUGA
Mastomys coucha (southern multimammate mouse) is the source of this 562-nucleotide long non-coding RNA. RefSeq lists it as uncharacterized. The record is from RefSeq and is a predicted model, not a curated record. NCBI's taxonomy places the organism in Eukaryota, Metazoa, Chordata, Mammalia, Rodentia, Muridae. The transcript has 3 exons.